Molecule: transfer RNA, 71 nt
Filed under: Georissidae sp. BMNH 840458
Lineage: Eukaryota; Metazoa; Arthropoda; Insecta; Coleoptera; Georissidae
Description: tRNA-Lys
Source: RNAcentral
CAUUAGAUAACUUAAAGUAAGUAAUGAUCUCUUAAAUCAAUUUAUAAUAGUUUAACAUCUAUUUCUAAUGA